Molecule: ribosomal RNA, 556 nt
Filed under: uncultured bacterium
Lineage: Bacteria
Description: bacterial SSU rRNA
Rfam family: Bacterial small subunit ribosomal RNA
Source: RNAcentral
AACGCUGGCGGCGGCUUAACACAUGCAAGUCGAGCGCCCCGCAAGGGGAGCGGCAGACGGGAGAGUAACACGUGGGAACGUACCCUUUGGUUCGGAACAACCCAGGGAAACUUGGGCUAAUACCGGAUAAGUCCGAAAGGAGAAAGAUUUAUCGCCGAAGGAUCGGCCCGCGUCUGAUUAGCUUGUUGGUGAGGUAACGGCUCACCAAGGCGACGAUCAGUAGCUGGUCUGAGAGGAUGAUCAGCCUCACUGGGACUGAGACACGGCCCAGACUCCUACGGGAGGCAGCAGUGGGGAAUAUUGGACAAUGGGCGCAAGCCUGAUCCAGCCAUGCCGCGUGGGUGAUGAAGGCCCUAGGGUUGUAAAGCCCUUUCGGCGGGGAAGAUAAUGACGGUACCCGCAGAAGAAGCCCCGGCUAACUUCGUGCCAGCAGCCGCGGUAAUACGAAGGGGGCUAGCGUUGCUCGGAAUCACUGGGCGUAAAGCGCACGUAGGCGGCUUUUUAAGUCAGGGGUGAAAUCCUGGAGCUCAACUCCAGAACUGCCUUUGAUACUGGG